Molecule: RNase P RNA, 322 nt
Filed under: Mycoplasmataceae bacterium
Lineage: Bacteria; Bacillati; Mycoplasmatota; Mollicutes; Mycoplasmatales; Mycoplasmataceae
Description: RNase P RNA component class B
Rfam family: Bacterial RNase P class B
About the family: Ribonuclease P (RNase P) is a ubiquitous endoribonuclease, found in archaea, bacteria and eukarya as well as chloroplasts and mitochondria. Its best characterised activity is the generation of mature 5'-ends of tRNAs by cleaving the 5'-leader elements of precursor-tRNAs. Cellular RNase Ps are ribonucleoproteins.
Source: RNAcentral
UGUAAGUAUUUAACCGCUAUUUUAUAGAGGAAGUUCCAUGCUUGCACAAGCUUAACUGCUUGUAGUGAUUCUGAUUGGGAUAAAUCCAAUACACCUUGGUUAGGUGAUGACAUCAAAUAUUCUCACGUAGAAUAGGCGACUAAAGUGCAACAGUGACGAGUUAUAUAGCGAUAUAUAAAUGAAACGGGCAAACUCCAGAAGCAAGAAACCUCAAGAUAAUCGAAUGAUAUGGUGGAGGGAGUGAGUGUAAGGGAAACUGCACACUCAACGGUAGCAAUACCGUAGAUAAAUGGUUAAUUAAAACAGAACGUGGGCUAUUCUU